RNAcentral lists this ribosomal RNA (110 nucleotides) under uncultured bacterium. Its description in RNAcentral is "partial 16S ribosomal RNA". It matches the Rfam family "Bacterial small subunit ribosomal RNA", at positions 400 to 508 of the family's 1533-position model. The record is from RNAcentral.
CGUGAAGGAUGAAGGCCUUCUGGGUUGUAAACUCUUUUACCUGGGAAGAAACCACCUUUUCUAAGGGUGUUGACGGUACCAGAGGAAUAAGCACCCGGCUAACUCCGUGC